GCUUUUGUAAUUAUGAUAGCGUGGAUCGAUUUUCUUGAUCAUUGUUGCAGUGGAUUUGAUAUGUAUUUAUUCAUUGUACACAUUUCUGAAUUAUGGUGUAUGCUUGUGGAUUUUGUUGUAGGCAUAAGAGAUUCUUGUACACUUAGUGAAUCUUUUCAAAACUUAUUUACUUCUGUAGAAGAGGCUUCAUAAAGAGGUUUUGUACUUGCACAUGAAACUGUUUGAGCUUUGUGAAUACGAAAGUGGCUGAUCUUGAAACACUUAUCGGUUCACUGUCAGAGUAGUUGCUGGAAAUGUUGCACCAGGGAGCAGUAGAUAAGACAAUCAGUUACUAUAUGUAUAUUCUGUUCUAUUUGAAAUUAAAAUGAUUUGAAAUGGGGACCAUAAAGUUUUCGUAAUUUUUCUAAUUCAGUUAACAUAAAUUUUUCCCUUCAAAUAAGCCUAAAUUUUUUGCGGAACUGCGUUUUUAUUCUUCACCGUUUGCGUCACUUAAUUAAAGCUCUCCUUGUUUCAAUCUCUCCUCAGUCACACUGAACUUUUUAAUGCUGCAGCCCCCUAGUGGCUACCUCAUCAUCACUUAACAAGCAGGACAAAAGUUUGGCUCAUUUUUGUCCUGUUGGACUCCCUCCAUCUGGUCAGAAUUUGUUUGGUUUUGGUGGAAUUAACCCUUUGUUCUCCCAGUUUUAGUCUGUUUUUGCAGGGUUUUUCACAGAAAACGAUCCUUGGAGGCUGCCAAGAAGACAGAGAGGAAACAAGACCUUGAGUCCAGGAAAUCCUCACCUACUUCAUGGACUUGGGCCUCAUACAAUCUGAGGAGAUGGAGUUCUUGUUUCUUUGAAUGUUCCAGGUGGGACAAUCUGACCAGGUAAGUACAUAACAAAUGAAGGCUAAUUUAUUUGCCAAUUUGGUUUAUUUUAAGUUGAGAUUGAUAACGUUAUAUAUCUAGGUUUCAUAGGAGGAAUCCAGUGGAUGUAUGCCCUUUUUUCUUGGGUCAUAUUGAGUCUGUGAUGUCACAUAGACUGGAUCCCAAAUGAAAGCUUUGGAGCAGUGGUUGUUUUUUCUUCUUUUUUUUUCUACAGUUGUAAAUAGUUUUUCAUGUAUGUAUAUAUUUAAAAUAGUUUCAUGUAAGAAUAUAGUUUAAUAUAUGUUUCAUGUAUGUAUAUAUGUAUAAUAGUUUGAUAUUUAUGACAAGUUGAUCAUCGUGGCAAAGCCAUGUUUCACUUGUGAGAUUAAAUCUGUCAGGCCUUACAUUGACACUCAGGCAACAACCCUGAGUGCCACACGGCUGGACAGGACACAUGUAAAUAAAAAAAGAUAGUUUUUAUUGCAGAGACAUCAAGUUCUGAAAUUUAUUGUAAUCUUUAAAUGUUGUAAUUGUGGUUCAUUGUAAU
This is a long non-coding RNA of Poeciliopsis prolifica (blackstripe livebearer), 1391 nucleotides long. RefSeq lists it as uncharacterized. Lineage: Eukaryota; Metazoa; Chordata; Actinopteri; Cyprinodontiformes; Poeciliidae. The record is from RefSeq and is a predicted model, not a curated record. The transcript has 3 exons.